Molecule: non-coding RNA, 3091 nt
Organism: Peromyscus maniculatus bairdii (prairie deer mouse)
Lineage: Eukaryota; Metazoa; Chordata; Mammalia; Rodentia; Cricetidae
Source: RefSeq, a predicted model, not a curated record
GGAAGGCACCCAGGGGCAGGCUCCAGUCUGGGAGUGCCUACUGGGUGUUUUCCAUGCCACCAACCCAGGAUGUGAGUGCAUACCAACGCCACAGGAAUGGUGGCACCCUGAACCUCCUGGAGACCUUAGCUGUCAUUUGUCACCUUUCAAGUUCUCACAUAGAUUUCAGGUGUGAUUUUUUUCCUUGGUCGGUGCUUUUCCUGAUAUUUGGCUACUCAUCCUGAUUUUGGGAGUUCUUCACAGCAACCCAAGUGGGAACUAGAGCUUGCAGAAAAACAACUAGGGAAGGAAGAGAAAGGCACCACAGGAAGAGCAAAAUCAGACAGGCCACACUACGUCAGAUGGAAAUACUGCAGGAGCAAGGGAAAACCACAGAUAACGCAGUCUACAGAACCAGAGGAAAACAUCUGCAAAACAUCUGUAUCUCUAAGACUAUGGAAACUGUAUGAGACAAAUGAGCCAAUUUCUUCAAAGAAGACAGUGACAGAGAGGAGAGGAAGAGGAGAGAGAAGAGUGAUGAAAAACAGAUAAAUGGAGAGACCAGGAUUUAUAUCUAAAAGAAAUCUCGAUGGUGAGGCCUGAACAUCAAGCAACUGCAUCAUGACUGUAUUUGGACUUAUUUGAACAGCCUGUAAAAAUGAUGAGUCAGAUGUAUAGGCUGAUUUCUGCUUCAUCAUCUAGACUUCAGAACAAUGGUAAAUGGAGAAGGUGACAAAACCAACAUCCUGUCCACUGAGCAAGAUGACAUCUCCCUCACUAGGACCUAUGACUUCCCCAGCUUCGGAUGCUUGUAGCUUUCCCCUGUAGAAGAGGCCUCCGAUCUGACCCGAGAACAGACUUCUCAUCACUGACGUCCGUCACUGACGUCCAUCACUGACGUCCAUCACUGACGUCCAUCACUGACGUCCCACUACUGCAUCAGUGGGCACGUCCUUUCCUGCCACUCUUAUAGUGUAGUACUCAGGGCCUACAGCUCUGUAACACCCUUGAAAUCAAAAUGGAAGGGAAAAUACUGUGGGGGAAAGGCUUGAGUGAAGAGAUGGGACAGGGGCAUGACAGAGAGGAGGAGAUGGAUGAGAGAGAUGAAUGAAAACUACGGCUGUAUGAAAAACCCAGAAAGAAGCCUGAAAAUGGAGAAGUGUGAAGUGUUCUGAAGGCUGCCAACAAAGUGUCAAGUCAGCCAAUAGACAGAGCAGAGGCAUUAUUGUUUCAUGGGGACUUACAUUCCAUCCGAAUCUGAUUGGCUGACCUGAGCCAAGAGAGGGUAAAAGGCUGCAGUGCUGAGCGAGCUUCUUGCUAAUGGUUUCUGUGGGAGAGUUGCCACCCUUCAUCAUUGUAAUUCUAGGGGGAAUACCUCCAGCUUCAAAGACAUCAGCAUGCCUCUGCUUGCGUCGCAAAACUUAUAUCGGGAAAAGAGACCUCAGCACAAAUUUCUUUGGGCAUCUUUUAUUAACAGACUUGAGCCAACUAAGUGAUUCUUCAAAAGAUUUUCAAAUUUCCAUGAAGGCAAAUAAAAUUAUUAAUCAUAAAAUAUUCAUCACGAUUUUUGCCUAUAUUUUAGGGCAAAUGUGUAACAGGAAUGUUGUGCCAGGGCGGUGAUCUGGUAGUACUGGAUUCAGAGAGCCCUGAUACAUGGACUACAUAGCAAAGCAGCAGAGGAAUGAACAGAGGCAAGAUGAAGCCAUUCAAUAUAGGAGUUUCCAAGGAAACAGGAUCUCACUGCCCGCUAGGGCAGGUAUGUAGGCAGUCAUUGAACAUGGAGUCAUCAUAAACCCUUGGUGAACUGGACUCUUGCUUUUAGGGCAGCUUUUUUUUUUUUCCUUGGGAUCUUGAAGGGUAAGAAUCACUGGGUUGAAUUAUUUGUCCUUCAUGCUGUUUUUGCAAAUGAAAUCCAUAUAAUGCAGUACUUUUUGGAAGGUUUGUGUGCCGAAAUCGAUGGUCAUUCCCAUGGUGCUAAGGUCUUCUAGAGAACAAGCUUGAAAACUUUGAUGGUCAAGAAGGAAGUAAGAAGCCAAGGAUGGGGCAUCUUAGCUGACUCAGAGCUGUGAGGCACCCCCAGCCCCCAGUUUAAUUUCUUUUUCUCUCUUUCUCAUGUUCCAUGUGCUUGGAUGCAAAGGUCCAGAAACUUUUUAUCUGGACAUUGUUUCUCUCAGAAAAGGCCUGAGUGGUAGGAUAAAAAGGGGAACUCUUUCAGCUGUUCAAAAUCCCUGCCCUUCUAUUUGGGGUCCAUUCUGGUGGGGUUACUUUCCCUCUACUUUGGAAGGGUUAGAAAAGAAGUCUCCCAGAAACCUUUGCUUCACCCAUACUUGGUUCAGCCUAGCUGCUUGGGGACUAGUGAGGAACUGAGACCUCCAUGAAGGAGAGAAAGGAGACAAGAAAAGUGACUGCCGAGGUGGCUUCAGAAAUGUUGGCAUCCUUACUACACCAAAAAUCCAGUCCCUUCCCGUCGUCAUGACUACCGCAGGGGAAUACAGACUGGCCAGUCGGACAUCGCUGUUCACGUCCUGUCUCCUAAGCCUUUGCUACUCACAAGCAGAGCAUGGAGGACAGGCAGAUGGGUGGGGCAAGGCAAAGGAUGCGAUUGCAAUGAAUGCAUUAAGGAUGGGGGAUGGGGGAGGAUUGAAGCCUCUGGUGCUGGGCUGGAGUUCUUGGGGUCAUGAUAUCACAAAAGUGAUAGAGGAGAAGAAACAACCAUAGAGAGGCUCUGCUGAGGGAUGUGGUGGCAGCAGAGGGCCAGCGAGAGCCUGGUGGCUGCUGCGGUCAGCACAUCAAUCAGUAUUUCUGGACUUUUCACUGACAAGCCCACCCAGGGGUUCCACUUCACUUAUUGCCAUUGAGAGGGGCAAUGCCAUCGAGAGGGGCAUUGACUCUUCUUGUCUCAGGGGAUCGCGGGCCAGUGACAGAGCAGGUGCAAGCCCCAGGCCCCUCCCUCCACAAAGUCAGCAGGAGGAAGAUAAAGCAUAAAGACUAGCGAAGACCGACGCAGGCAAAUCACGGCCAGAUCAAAGUUUUCACGUUCAGUCAGGCACAAGUGCUACGGAGAUAUGGAAGUCAAGGAACUGAGUUUAGAAAGAAGAAGUGGCUCUUCACU